AACGGAUUAGAUACCCUGGUAGUCCACGCCGUAACGAUGUCAACUAGCCGUUGGGCCUUUAAAAAGGCUUAGUGGCGCAGCUAACGCAAUAAGUUGACCGCCUGGGGAGUACGGCCGCAAGGUUAAAACUCAAAUGAAUUGACGGGGGCCCGCACAAGCGGAGGAACAUGUGGUUUAAUUCGAUGAUACGCGAGGAACCUUACCCGGGUUUAAAUGGGGAACGACAGGUGUGGAAACAUGCCCUUCUUCGGACGUUCUCCAAGGUGCUGCAUGGUUGUCGUCAGCUCGUGCCGUGAGGUGUCGGGUUAAGUCCCAUAACGAGCGCAACCCACGUCGUUAGUUGCCAUCAGGUAGUGCUGGGCACUCUAACGAGACUGCCGGUGUAAACCGCGAGGAAGGUGUGGACGACGUCAAAUCAGCACGGCCCUUACACCCGGGGCGACACACGUGUUACAAUGGCCGGUACAGAGGGCAGCCACCCCGCGAGGGGGCGCGAAUCUCCAAAGCCGGUCCCAGUUCGGAUCGGGGUCUGCAACCCGACCCCGUGAAGCUGGAUUCGCUAGUAAUCGCGCAUCAGCCAUGGCGCGGUGAAUACGUUCCCGGGCCUUGUACACACCGCCCUUCAAACCAUGGGAGCCUGGGGGACCUGAAGUCCGCGACCGCAAGGGGCGGCCUAGGGUAAAUCAGGUGACUGGGGUUAAGUCGUAACAAGGUAGCAUCUUUCUAG
RNAcentral lists this ribosomal RNA (727 nucleotides) under uncultured bacterium. RNAcentral describes it as "bacterial SSU rRNA". It matches the Rfam family "Bacterial small subunit ribosomal RNA", at positions 771 to 1533 of the family's 1533-position model. The record is from RNAcentral.